GGCCUGAUGGUCUAGUAGUAUGAUUCUCGCUUUGGGUUUCCCUUACUCCCCACUUUGCGAGAGGUCCGGGGUUCAAUUCCCCGUCAGGCCC
Non-coding RNA from Marasmius sp. AFHP31, 91 nucleotides. Lineage: Eukaryota; Fungi; Basidiomycota; Agaricomycetes; Agaricales; Marasmiaceae. The record is from the annotation of a GenBank genome assembly.